AGUGAACGCUGGCGGUAGGCCUAACACAUGCAAGUCGAGCGGCAGCACAGUAAGAGCUUGCUCUUACGGGUGGCGAGUGGCGGACGGGUGCGGAAUACCUCGGAAUCUACUUUGUCGUGGGGGAUAACGUGGGGAAAAUUACGCUAAUACCGCAUACGACCUACGGGUGAAAGCAGGGGAUCUUCGGACCUUGCGCGAUCGAAUGAGGCGAUGUCGGAUUAGCUAGUUGGCGGGGUAAAGGCCCACCAAGGCGACGAUCCGUAGCUGGUCUGAGAGGAUGAUCAGCCACACUGGAACUGAGACACGGUCCAGACUCCUACGGGAGGCAGCAGUGGGGAAUAUUGGACAAUGGGCGAAAGCCUGAUCCAGCCAUACCGCGUGGGUGAAGAAGGUCUUCGGGUUGUAAAGCACUUUUGUUGGGAAAGAAAAGCAGCAGGUUAAUACCUCGCUGUUCUGACGGUACCCAAAGAAUAAGCACCGGCUAACUUCGUG
RNAcentral lists this ribosomal RNA (492 nucleotides) under uncultured bacterium. RNAcentral's name for it is "partial 16S ribosomal RNA". It matches the Rfam family "Bacterial small subunit ribosomal RNA", at positions 29 to 507 of the family's 1533-position model. The record is from RNAcentral.